CCUACGGGAGGCAGCAGUAGGGAAUAUUGCUCAAUGGGGGAAACCCUGAUGCAGCAACGCCGCGUGAAGGAUGAAGGUAUUCGUAUUGUAAAGUUCUUUUGUUAGGGAAGAUAAUGACGGUAUCUGACGAAUAAGCCCCGGCUAACUCCGUGCCAGCAGCCGCGGUAAUACGGAGGGUGCAAGCGUUAUACGGAAUUACUGGGCGUAAAGAGCGCGUAGGCGGGAUAGCAAGUCAGAUGUGAAAUCCUAUGGCUUAACAAUAGAACUGCAUUUGAAACUGUGAAUCUAGAGUGUGGGAGAGGUAAGUGGAAUUCUUGGUGUAGGGGUAAAAUCCGUAGAGAUCAGGAGGAAUACUCAUGGCGAAGGCGACCUGCUAGAACGUAACUGACGCUGAUGCGCGAAAGCGUGGGGAGCAAACAGGAUUAGAUACCCGGGUAGUC
RNAcentral lists this ribosomal RNA (440 nucleotides) under uncultured bacterium. RNAcentral describes it as "partial 16S ribosomal RNA". It matches the Rfam family "Bacterial small subunit ribosomal RNA", at positions 338 to 795 of the family's 1533-position model. The record is from RNAcentral.